GACGAACGCUGUCGGCGUGCUUAACACAUGCAAGUCGAGCGAUGAAGCUCCUUCGUGAGCGGAUUAGCGGCGGACGGGUGGGUAACACGUGGGCAACCUGCCUUAUAGAGAGGAAUAGCCAUCCGAAAGGAUGAUUAAUACCUCAUAAUAUUGUAGCUUCGCAUGGAGCAACAAUCAAAGGAGGAAUCCACUAUAAGAUGGGCCCGCGGCGCAUUAGCUAGUUGGUGAGGUAACGGCUCACCAAGGCGACGAUGCUUAACCUACCUGAGAGGGGGAUCGGCCACCUUGGGACUGGGGCACGGCCCAGACUCCGACGGGAGGCAGCAGUGGGGAAUACUGAACAAUGGGGGAAACCCUGAUGCAGCCACGCCGCGUGAGUCAUGACGGCCUUCGGGUUGUAAAGCUCUGUCUUCAUGGACGAUAAUGACGGUACCUGAGGAGGAAGCCACGGCUAACUACGUGCCAGCCGCCGCGGUAA
RNAcentral lists this ribosomal RNA (478 nucleotides) under uncultured bacterium. Its description in RNAcentral is "partial 16S ribosomal RNA". It matches the Rfam family "Bacterial small subunit ribosomal RNA", at positions 28 to 523 of the family's 1533-position model. The record is from RNAcentral.